AGUGAGCGCUGGCGGUAGGCCUAACACAUGCAAGUCGAACGGCAGCACAGUAAGAGCUUGCUCUUACGGGUGGCGAGUGGCGGACGGGUGAGGAAUACAUCGGAAUCUACUUUUUCGUGGGGGAUAAUGUAGGGAAACUUACGCUAAUACCGCAUACGACCUACGGGUGAAAGCAGGGGAUCUUCGGACCUUGCGCGAUUGAAUGAGCCGAUGUCGGAUUAGCUAGUUGGCGGGGUAAAGGCCCACCAAGGCGACGAUCCGUAGCUGGUCUGAGAGGAUGAUCAGCCACACUGGAACUGAGACACGGUCCAGACUCCUACGGGAGGCGGCAGUGGGGAAUAUUGGACAAUGGGCGCAAGCCUGAUCCAGCCAUACCGCGUGGGUGAAGAAGGCCUUCGGGUUGUAAAGCCCUUUUGUUGGGAAAGAAAAGCAGCAGGUUAAUACCCCGCUGUUCUGACGGUACCCAAAGAAUAAGCACCGGCUAACUUCGUG
Molecule: ribosomal RNA, 492 nt
Filed under: uncultured bacterium
Lineage: Bacteria
Description: partial 16S ribosomal RNA
Rfam family: Bacterial small subunit ribosomal RNA
Source: RNAcentral